RNAcentral lists this ribosomal RNA (238 nucleotides) under uncultured Nitrosovibrio sp. RNAcentral describes it as "partial 16S ribosomal RNA". It matches the Rfam family "Bacterial small subunit ribosomal RNA", at positions 355 to 585 of the family's 1533-position model. Lineage: Bacteria; Pseudomonadati; Pseudomonadota; Betaproteobacteria; Nitrosomonadales; Nitrosomonadaceae. The record is from RNAcentral.
UGGGGAAUUUUGGACAAUGGGGGAAACCCUGAUCCAGCCAUGCCGCGUGAGUGAAGAAGGCCUUCGGGUUGUAAAGCUCUUUCAGCCGGAACGAAACGGUCACGGCUAAUACCUGUGACUACUGACGGUACCGGAAGAAGAAGCACCGGCUAACUACGUGCCAGCAGCCGCGGUAAUACGUAGGGUGCAAGCGUUAAUCGGAAUUACUGGGCGUAAAGCGUGCGCAGGCGGUUUUGUA